GUUGUACAGGCUGAACUCAAACUCCAGGGCUCAAGUCAUCCUCCUACCUCAGCCUCUGACGAAGCUGGGACUCCGGGCAUGCACCAAGAAGUCCAGGUUUACCGCAACAGUCUGUGGAGGAGGAAGAGUCUGAAAUGGCAACUGGACCAAAGCUUCUGCAGCUGGAAGUUCCUCUUCUGACACCAAAGCAUUCUGCACCAAAACCUGGCCCUGGGACAGAAUUUCAGGCUGCACUUGUAAAGACUGCAUAGACUGCAAGGGCAGUGGUGGAAUCUGAGCUGGAGGAGAUGUCGACAUCUGUGGAGGACUUGCAAUUGGGAUUGGAGAGGACUGCAGGGAUGAAUAUUGCUGGUGUGAUGGAGAGACAAUCUGCUGGCCUGGGGAUACCAAGGCAGACUGCUGAACUGGGCCAAUGUGUACAACAGGGGAAGCUGGAAGUGGAAGAUGGGAUGGAAGAUUCAACUGUGCUGUAGCUUGCACCUGAUUAGCAGUGGACUGCUGCAAAUUUGGCCCUGGCUGGAGAGCUGAUGACACAAGAGGGUGUGGCUGAAUAAGUGCUUGUGGAUGAAUAAUUAUAGUAGGAGACUGACUUGGUGAAUGAGGUGGUGGAGGAGACACCACUACAGACUGCUGUGCUGACUGUGACUGAUUAGGAGACACUGUUAAAGGAGAGGGAUGACUCUGAAUCGGUGAACAAUGCUGUGACUGGGCAUUACUGGGAGCUGGAGGAAGGCCAUGGUUCUGGAGUGGUAUACAGUGCUGGGAUGGGGGUGGGUCUUGAGUUGAAUUCUGAAGUGUGAUUGGCUGAAUUUGCUGUUGCUGCUGUUGUAAUAUCAGCUGAUGAUGGGAAACUUUGGAAGGUG
Molecule: long non-coding RNA, 863 nt
Filed under: Homo sapiens (human)
Lineage: Eukaryota; Metazoa; Chordata; Mammalia; Primates; Hominidae
Description: HSALNT0063998
Source: RNAcentral